CCUACGGGAGGCAGCAGUAAGGAAUAUUGGUCAAUGGACGCAAGUCUGAACCAGCCAUGCCGCGUGAAGGAUUAAGGUCCUCUGGAUUGUAAACUUCUUUUAUUUGGGACGAAAAAAGGGCCUUUCUAGGUCAACUGACGGUACCAGAUGAAUAAGCACCGGCUAACUCCGUGCCAGCAGCCGCGGUAAUACGGAGGGUGCAAGCGUUAUCCGGAUUCACUGGGUUUAAAGGGUGCGUAGGCGGGUAGGUAAGUCAGUGGUGAAAUCCUGGAGCUCAACUCCAGAACUGCCAUUGAUACUAUUUAUCUUGAAUAUUGUGGAGGUAAGCGGAAUAUGUCAUGUAGCGGUGAAAUGCUUAGAUAUGACAUAGAACACCUAUUGCGAAGGCAGCUUACUACGCAUAUAUUGACGCUGAGGCACGAAAGCGUGGGGAUCAAACAGGAUUAGAUGCCCUGGUAGUCCACGCCCUAAACUAUGACUACUCGACAUUUGUGAUACACAAUAAGUGUNUGAGAGAAGANAUAAGUAAUACACCACGGAGUACGUCCGCGAGAGAGAGACGUACAAUAGAGUUAGAGGACGNGAGAGNGCGACGGACGACGACGAGGGAGGAGG
Molecule: ribosomal RNA, 615 nt
Filed under: uncultured bacterium
Lineage: Bacteria
Description: bacterial SSU rRNA
Rfam family: Bacterial small subunit ribosomal RNA
Source: RNAcentral